UUAGUUGCCCACUUUGAGCCUAUUUAUUAUGCAUUUCCUUGGUACCUUGAUAUGAUUAAAUAUAUAUAUUUUUUGGUAACCACUUGGAAUUGAAAAUGGAGCGAACUAUUGAAAAUAAAAGAGAAUUGUCAUAUAUUUGAGAUGUUCAUGUAUUUUGUUGAGCUGAAAAUAAAAAUUCCAAAUUUGAGCUGCUCAUGUGUACUCUAUGUAUAACUAGGAAGAAAAAAAAAAUGGCUCUGGUGUUUGUAAUGAAAAAAAAAAAGAACAAGAGAAAAAAAAGGAUGAUGAUAGUAAAAGGAGAAAAGAAGUAGCUUGUGUGGAUUAUUGUGAAUACUUCCUUCAAAAGAAAGAAAGAAAAUUUUUUUUUGCAAAUUGAGAAAUUAAGAAACAAAGUUUUAGGACCACACUCUGUAUGAAAGAAAAAAAAAUGAAAGAAGUAAUAGUUUUGGAGUUGAACAAAAUUGUGAAAAUAUAUAGGAGCUCCAUUUUUGUUUCAAAGGUUACUAUUUGUUUCUUGUUUUCUUACCCCUUUGAUUAUCCAUUUCUUCUUAUAUCCCACCUUGCAUGAAUUAACCAUGGCCCUGUUACAACCUGUAAGACCUCAACUUUUGCAUGCAUGUAGACUAUUUAGUGGAGAUAUCGGUCAAAUUACAAGCUUAUGGUAAUGUGCAUUUUGUGGAAACUUGAGUGCUUAUUUUCAAAGUCCCUAAACACUUAAGAGAUUGUGAGAGAACGCUCCUGUUCAUUUAAAGGUAGUUUUCAUGGACAUAUAAGACUCUAAUUGGGCAACCUUUUGACUACUCCAUAUAUUUUAUAUUGUCUGUCAUUGUUGCUUAUAAUUUAUGGUAUCUCAUUUGGCUAUCUCUGUCAUCCUUUUUGAAAAUGUAUUGAGCCAGGAAAUUUGCUUGAGGACAAGCAAAGCUUAAGUGUGGGGGAGUUGAUAAACUCCAAUUUAGUACAUUAUAUGUAGAUACUUUUGUGGUAUUUUAGAGUAAUUAUUUAUUAUUAUAUAAAUAACUCACUUGAUUUGCUCUAUAUUNNNNNNNNNNNNNNNNNNNNNNNNNNNNNNNNNNNNNNNNNNNNNNNNNNNNNNNNNNCUAACCAUUUUGUCUUAUUGGAUGCAAAUGAUGACAAGCCCAAAUGGAUAUAUCUCACAUAAUGACCCAAAGAAAAUCAAAACCAUAGUCUUGGAUUAAAAUGAAAUUGGAAUACAAGUGGUUUUUGUCUCUUUCAAAGCACAAGUGGCUGAAGAAAAAGAAGUAAAGUGCAGCAGCAACACGUGAAACAACAGAGGGAGGCGGUGAUUAAGUGAUACAUGGGAAGCCUUAAGGAGGAAGUUUUCGGCACAACACAGAGGAAAAAAGGCGGCAGUGGCAGAUUCGCAAAUUCCAGAUUCUUAUACUUGAAGCAAUUGGAACCAAUGCCUACUAUAAAUAGGGAUUUUGGAGAACAAUUUGAAGGGGGCUGUACGUUGUACAUAUAGAAGAUAGUUUUGGAGAGGAGAGAUUGANN
Molecule: long non-coding RNA, 1512 nt
Filed under: Trifolium pratense (red clover)
Lineage: Eukaryota; Viridiplantae; Streptophyta; Magnoliopsida; Fabales; Fabaceae
Description: long non-coding RNA (TPRA_LNC013379)
Source: RNAcentral